This 1246-nucleotide ribosomal RNA is filed under the name metagenome. RNAcentral describes it as "bacterial LSU rRNA". It matches the Rfam family "Bacterial large subunit ribosomal RNA", at positions 1564 to 2818 of the family's 2925-position model. The record is from RNAcentral.
CGAGUACGAGACGCUAAGGCGUCGAAGUAGUGUAUGUCAGACUUCCAAGAAAAGCUCGCAAUGUCAUAUGAUAAAAAAUGCCUGUACCAUAACCGACACAGGUGGGUAGGUAGAGUAUACUAAGGGGCGCGAGAUAACUCUCUCUAAGGAACUCGGCAAAAUAACUCCGUAACUUCGGGAGAAGGAGUGCCUUAUUCUAUAAGGUUGCAAUAACAAGAUCCAAGCAACUGUUUAUCAAAAACACAGGUCUCCGCUAAGUCGUAAGACGAUGUAUGGGGGCUGACGCCUGCCCAGUGCCAGAAGGUUAAAGAAGUCGGUUAGCAUUAGCGAAGCUGGUAACUGAAGCCCUGGUGAACGGCGGCCGUAACAAUAACGGUCCUAAGGUAGCGAAAUUCCUUGUCGGGUAUGUUCCGACCCGCACGAAAGGCGUAAUGAUUUGGAUACUGUCUCGGAGAGGGGCUCGGUGAAAUAGACUUGUCUGUGAAGAUGCGGACUACCUGCACCAGGACAGAAAGACCCUAUGAAGCUUUACUGUAACUUGAAAUUGAAAUUGGACUUUAUUCGCGCAGUAUAGGUGGGAGGCGUUGAUUAUAAUCUUGCGGGAUUAUUGGAGCCAUCAGUGAGAUACCACUCUUGUAAUGUUAGAUUUCUAACUUUGAAUCAUUAUCUGGUCAAAGGACAGUUUCAGGCGGGCAGUUUGACUGGGGCGGUCGCCUCCUAAACGGUAACGGAGGCGUACAAAGGUUUCCUCUGAACGGGUAGAAAUCGUAUCUAGAGGGUAAAGGCAUAAGGAAGCUUGACUGUGAGACCUACAAGUCGAGCAGGGACGAAAGUCGGUCUUAGUGAUCUGACGGUACUGAGUGGAAAGGCCGUCACUCAACGGAUAAAAGUUACUCUAGGAUAACAGGCUGAACUCCCCCAAGAGUUCACAUCGACGGGGAGGUUUGGCACCUCGAUGUCGGCUCAUCGCAUCCUGGGGCGGUAGUACGUCCCAAGGGUUGGGCUGUUCGCCCAUGAAAGCGGUACGCGAGCUGGGUUCAGAACGUCGUGAGACAGUUCGGUCCAUAUCCGGUGUAGGCGUUAGAAUAUUGAGAGGAGCCUUCUUUAGUACGAGAGGACCGAGAAGGACAUACCUCUGGUGUACCAGUUAUCGUGCCAACGGUAAACGCUGGGUAGCUAUGUAUGGAGUGGAUAACCGCUGAAAGCAUCUAAGUGGGAAGCCCACCUCAAGAUAAGUAUUCUCAUC